AGAAAUGGCCGCUGCUGCUUCACUCAUUUCCACAUUCUUCCACUAUUCCUCUCCACUUUCUCGCUCGCCAAACAGAAGACCACCGCUUUCUGUCUCUAAACUUAAAUGCCUAUCUCUCCACAGAAACCAAUACCAAAAUGAUAACUCUGGCAUCCUCUGUUUCCUUGAUCAAGUCCUCCACUCUCAUUCUCACUCUCUAACCCCACACAACCUCUUAUUUACCAAAAAGCCCCCCUCCUCCUCCUCCUCCUCCUCUUCUGCUUUAGAC
RNAcentral lists this unclassified non-coding RNA (268 nucleotides) under Hevea brasiliensis (rubber tree). The record is from RNAcentral. Lineage: Eukaryota; Viridiplantae; Streptophyta; Magnoliopsida; Malpighiales; Euphorbiaceae.